UCCUCCCUCUUUCUUCGUGCUUAACACAUGCAAGUCGAACGGAAAGGCCCCUUUGUUGGUACUCGAGUGUUGAACGGGUGAGUAACACUUGAGUAACGUGCCCUUGACUUCGGGAUAACUUCAGGAAACUGGGGCUAAUACCGGAUCGGAAUCCUUGCUGCAUGGUGGGGGUUGGAAAGCUUCGGCGGUUUUGGAUGGACUCGCGGCUUAUCUGCUUGUUGGUGUGGUAGUGGCUUACCAAGGCUUUGACGGGUAGCCGGCCUGAGAGGGCGACCGGCCACAUUGGGACUGAGAUACGGCCCAGACUCCUACGGGAGGCAGCAGUGGGGAAUAUUGCAGAAUGGGCGGAAGCCUGAUGCAGCAACGCCGCGGGCGGGAUGACGGCCUUAGGGUUGUAAACCGCUUUCAGCAGGGGCGAAGCUUGUGGUGACGGUACCUGCAGAAGAAGCACCGGCUAACUACGUG
This 465-nucleotide ribosomal RNA is filed under the name uncultured bacterium. Its description in RNAcentral is "partial 16S ribosomal RNA". It matches the Rfam family "Bacterial small subunit ribosomal RNA", at positions 36 to 507 of the family's 1533-position model. The record is from RNAcentral.